This is a long non-coding RNA of Notolabrus celidotus (New Zealand spotty), 528 nucleotides long. RefSeq lists it as uncharacterized. The record is from RefSeq and is a predicted model, not a curated record. The transcript is spliced from 3 exons. Lineage: Eukaryota; Metazoa; Chordata; Actinopteri; Labriformes; Labridae.
UGACGUGUGGACUAAUAGCUGUCCAAAUUCAUUCAUUUCUGUGAGCUCUACCCACAACACAAUAGUCCGUUUUCGCCGUCCAUUUCUUGCCAAUCAAAUCAUCCCCCCUCUCAGUUUCUCUCCAUUUCUUUCCAGUCAAAUCGAAGCUUCGGUCCCGGCUUCCAUUUCUUACCAAUCAGAUUCCACCCCCUCUUCCAUUUCUUACCAAUGAAAAAAUCUGUCCGCCUCAACACCCGCCUCCUGCCGCCUCGACCAAUCAGAAGGCUGUUGCUAUGCGAGUGCCGACAGAAACGAAAGUUGACUGAAAGUUCCGUCAAAGCUAACACACCGGCACAUUUCAUGAUUGAAAAUUGUCCACUCCAGAAUCGGGUUCAGAUGUCUUUGUUUGGUCUGCUUGUGUGUGUUUCACACUUAAAAGACACCUCAGGAACAGACAACUUGAUCUCCCUCUUCAUCUGCAGGCUCUCCUGCAGUUUCUUCCAAUGUCGCUUUACCCUCUGAGGACGCUGCAAAGUGACCUAAACUGCC